Globicephala melas (long-finned pilot whale) is the source of this 2945-nucleotide long non-coding RNA. RefSeq lists it as uncharacterized. The record is from RefSeq and is a predicted model, not a curated record. NCBI's taxonomy places the organism in Eukaryota, Metazoa, Chordata, Mammalia, Artiodactyla, Delphinidae.
CCAGCCGCUUUAAGGUGCUUUAUGGAACCAAUUCUUACAAAGCUUGCCCAGGAAAAGUGGUCUGGUAUCUAUCUGGCUUACAGGAUGUAAGCAAGGUUACUUCCAGGCAGGCCAGUAACACUGGAUAUUGGGGUCCUCCAAAAGAGAGGGGAAAGUGCAAACGCAGUCCCCCACUACCACAAAUUAUGCAGUCGAGUUUCCCACAUUUGGGGAAAUCACAGGGGUCAGCACAUCCGGAGUGCAAUGGAUAAGCCUUGCCCUGGGAAAACCACCUUCGUGAUCAUGGUAUUUCCCCUGCCAGUCUGAUGUGCCUCUGCAAGUCUAUGGCCAGUAUCAAAGUGGGACCAUCUCAGAACUACCUGCCCUUUUGCAUCCACAGAAAGUCUUUGGUGCUCAGAUGUGACUCACAGAUGCCAGCACUGGGACUCAGGAGAGGGCUUCGGGAGAGGAAUAUUGGGAUUUUCUGGCCUCUCCUCAACUACAAUGGACAGUACUAUUCUGAUCUCUGAUCCUUUUAUGGUGAGCAUGAAGCAAGUUCAGGAGACAGAAGAGUGUGCUGGACAGCACACACUAAUGUGUUUUCUGAAGAAAACAGUAUCUAUGAGAUGCCCCAUGAAACAAACAACUUCAAUCAGAUAACUUUAGAAAAUGCUGCAUACCGUGUCUUCUUCUGGAAGUACGCAAAACAAACAGAAUUUCUAUAAAGGGAUGUGGUAAAAAGAUAUUUGUAACUUUGUACCUUGUACCCAAACUUCUUUUGGGUACACUUAUGGAAGCUUAUUUUCCAAAACACCAAUAACAUUCUGCUACACAGCAUUCUGUUGAAUACAGUUUUAGAUAUAAGUCUAAAAGUCAUCUUAACUAGUUACUUUGGAGGAGAUAAUCCUAAAGGGAUGCUAUGCAUGGUAGCAGAAGAAGAGCAUGGAGAUGGGAUGCAUAUCACAUGUAACUGAGGUCAUCAAGGCAUGUCUCUGGUUAAUAACCCCUUUUUCCCAGGGCUGUAGUAAGGAGUCACUGAAAUAAUGUAUAGAAAACUCUUAACACAUUAUCUAGCACACAGAGGAAAAUUUGUGUUGUUAUUAUAAAAAUUACAUGAGAAGUAUUAAAAUUUAAAUAAUGAUUGAAAAUGCCCUAGUAGAAGCUCUACUAUCUAUUAAGUGGUUAAUAAACAGUAACAAGUUAGGUUACCUUUCCCUCAUUGAUAAAAGCAAAUUUGACCAAAGAAGAUAGCUACAGUUGUACAAUCUCCUUACUAGACUGUGAACUCAGGGAGGAUUGGGGCUGUGUCUGCUUCUAGUCAGCCUAUUCCCCCCAACAGAGCAUCUAAAACAUAAUGUGUACUAUUUUUUGUACAUUGUUGAUUAAAUGUCCCUCUGUCUUUAUUAACUUCACAGAGCAUAGAAUCAAGAUUCUUCGUUAUUUGCUCUGUAGAAAUAGCAUCAAAACAAAUAUCAUAAAAUCUCAUUAUCUAAAAUUUACUAUGUUACUCAGCCAGGUUCUAAAUGCACUUAUCAAUCCAAACUUUCACCGAUUAGCAAAAGACAAAGAAAUGGGAAUAUCUUAUUUCUGAUUGAGUUAACGUAACACAUAUUGGCAUCUCAACAGAGGUGGAGAUUGAAAACUCGAUUCUGAAACGUUCAAGGACUUUCCCAUUAAGCAAUGUUCCACUCUCAAAUCCAUAAAUACCAAAUUGCUAUUGACGGCAGGGCAGAACAGCCUAACCAAUUACACAGAAUUACUUUUCAGUAUGUGGAUUACAACCACACAGAAAACAGCAAUCGAUCAAAGAUGCUGGCUUCUAGGGCUAAGGGAAAGCAGCAGCACAGACAAUAGAUUCAAGACAAAAAUCCAGAAUAUUUGUUUGAUGAUUCACAUUUGGCAGAAUUCCAGAUUGAAUUUUUCUUAUUUGGACUCUUCAAUAUUUCGCGAGGAUAAGAGCAGCUAUGAUUCUUAGUUUAUAGUUAUCAAAACUCUCUUACCCUCACUUUCCUCAUCAUUCCUUCAAGUAGUUAUUAUGGAAUGAUUUUUCUCAAAGAAAAAUACCUAAGAAUUUCUGCUCUUUUUAAUAUAAUUCAGUACUUCCCCAUUGGUCUCAGAAAAGUGAUCCAAAUUAUUCAUUUGAUCUGUAAGGCCCCAAGUAGCCAGAGACCACCUGUAAUAGUCAGGUUAGGUUAUGGUGUGCUACAGUAAAAAACAACCCCAAAAUGUCAGUGGCCUAACAUAGCAAAUUAUUAUUUUUUAUUUACUCGAAGUCUGCAAAAUUAUUCGUCCCUCCAGAUCACUUGUCCUCCAGACAGUGAGUUACAUCCGGGCCGUUUAGCUUUGGAGGCUUUGCCGUAUCAAUACAAGGUGUCCUCAUUCAUCACAGGAUGGGAAUAGGAACGAGGUAAUUUUGCAUGGACUUUAAUCCCUCAGCACAAAUGUGACAUUAUUCAUACAGCUCACCCAACCGAAAGGGAGGAGGGGUAUGGAACAUGUGAGUAAAUGAACAUUUGACGAGCACCACUGUCCCUUCCUCACCUCCUUACCUGUCCAUCCUUACCUGUAUCACUCUUCUACCUGCACUGAGCUCUCAGCUAUACACAGUUUCUUCAAUAGGCCACACUCUCUCCUCCCACAGGGCAUGUGCAUGCCUUUUACCUCUGCGGAGAAUACUCUUUCCUAUCCUACUCCCUUUCCCUCUCCCCCAACCCUUCUACCUAGUUGGUUUUCAUUUUCUUGCAAUCUCAGCUAAGCAUAACCUUCUCAGAGAACUCUUCCUCAAACUCUUCCCCUCCCACAAGUACCAUUAUAGGAAUGUUCUCUUUGGAAAAUUUAUUAUACUUUGCAGAUUUAUGUUCCUCAUUGUGAAUAUUUGACCAGGUCUUUCCUAUAUCAGUAGAAUGGAGACUGUAAGAGAUCAUGAACUAUACUGAUUUUUUUUAUCAGCAUUGUAUCCCCAGCAC